RNAcentral lists this ribosomal RNA (253 nucleotides) under uncultured bacterium. Its description in RNAcentral is "partial 16S ribosomal RNA". It matches the Rfam family "Bacterial small subunit ribosomal RNA", at positions 524 to 776 of the family's 1533-position model. The record is from RNAcentral.
UACGUAGGGGGCAAGCGUUGUCCGGAUUUAUUGGGCGUAAAGAGCGUGUAGGCGGCUAGAUAGGUCCGUUGUGAAAACUGGAGGCUCAACCUCCAGACGUCGACGGAAACCGUGUGGCUAGAGUCCGGAAGAGGAGAGUGGAAUUCCUGGUGUAGCGGUGAAAUGCGCAGAUAUCAGGAGGAACACCGGUGGCGAAGGCGGGUCUCUGGGCCGAUACUGACGCUGAGGAGCGAAAGCGUGGGGAGCGAACAGG